RNAcentral lists this ribosomal RNA (711 nucleotides) under Salmonella enterica subsp. enterica serovar Newport. RNAcentral's name for it is "partial 23S ribosomal RNA". It matches the Rfam family "Bacterial large subunit ribosomal RNA", at positions 2164 to 2869 of the family's 2925-position model. Lineage: Bacteria; Pseudomonadati; Pseudomonadota; Gammaproteobacteria; Enterobacterales; Enterobacteriaceae. The record is from RNAcentral.
GUGGACGCCAGUCUGCAUGGAGCCGACCUUGAAAUACCACCCUUUAAUGUUUGAUGUUCUAACGUGGACCCGUAAUCCGGGUUGCGGACAGUGUCUGGUGGGUAGUUUGACUGGGGCGGUCUCCUCCUAAAGAGUAACGGAGGAGCACGAAGGUUGGCUAAUCCUGGUCGGACAUCAGGAGGUUAGUGCAAUGGCAUAAGCCAGCUUGACUGCGAGCGUGACGGCGCGAGCAGGUGCGAAAGCAGGUCAUAGUGAUCCGGUGGUUCUGAAUGGAAGGGCCAUCGCUCAACGGAUAAAAGGUACUCCGGGGAUAACAGGCUGAUACCGCCCAAGAGUUCAUAUCGACGGCGGUGUUUGGCACCUCGAUGUCGGCUCAUCACAUCCUGGGGCUGAAGUAGGUCCCAAGGGUAUGGCUGUUCGCCAUUUAAAGUGGUACGCGAGCUGGGUUUAGAACGUCGUGAGACAGUUCGGUCCCUAUCUGCCGUGGGCGCUGGAGAACUGAGGGGGGCUGCUCCUAGUACGAGAGGACCGGAGUGGACGCAUCACUGGUGUUCGGGUUGUCAUGCCAAUGGCACUGCCCGGUAGCUAAAUGCGGAAGAGAUAAGUGCUGAAAGCAUCUAAGCACGAAACUUGCCCCGAGAUGAGUUCUCCCUGAGACUUAGAGUCUCCUGAAGGAACGUUGAAGACGACGACGUUGAUAGGCCGGGUGUG